Molecule: ribosomal RNA, 211 nt
Filed under: uncultured bacterium
Lineage: Bacteria
Description: partial 16S ribosomal RNA
Rfam family: Bacterial small subunit ribosomal RNA
Source: RNAcentral
UACAGAGGGUGCUAGCGUUGUUCGGAAUUAUUGGGCGUAAAGCGCUUGUAGGCGGCUUGUUAAGUUCCGUGUGAAAUCCCCAGGCUUAACCUGGGAAGUGCGCGGAAAACUGGCGAGCUUGAAUGCCGGAGAGGGUCGCGGAAUUCCCGGUGUAGGGGUGAAAUUCGUAGAUAUCGGGAGGGAACACCAGUGGCGAAGGCGGCGACCUGGA